UACGUAGGGCGCAAGCGUUGUCCGGAAUUAUUGGGCGUAAAGAGCUCGUAGGCGGCCUGUUACGUCUGCUGUGAAAUCCCGGGGCUUAACCCCGGGCGUGCAGUGGAUACGGGCAGGCUGGAGGCAGGCAGGGGAGAACGGAAUUCCUGGUGUAGCGGUGGAAUGCGCAGAUAUCAGGAGGAACACCGGUGGCGAAGGCGGGUCUCUGGGCCGUUACUGACGCUCAGGUGCGAAAGCCAGGGGAGCGAACGGG
Molecule: ribosomal RNA, 253 nt
Filed under: uncultured bacterium
Lineage: Bacteria
Description: partial 16S ribosomal RNA
Rfam family: Bacterial small subunit ribosomal RNA
Source: RNAcentral